Molecule: non-coding RNA, 289 nt
Organism: Pelobates cultripes (western spadefoot toad)
Lineage: Eukaryota; Metazoa; Chordata; Amphibia; Anura; Pelobatidae
Source: the annotation of a GenBank genome assembly
AAACUCCCUUGCUCAUCAUACAUGGUCAACCCCUAACUACCUCGAAGUUCACCAGAUAUGUAAGAUUAUUGUUCACAAGAAUCUGGUACGAUACCGUAGCAUUCACUGGCCACUCAUUUCGUAUCGGGCUGCUACAUCAGCCUCCAGCCAAAACAUACCGGUGCAUAUCAUCAAAAAAUUAGGCAGAUGGAAGUCAUCAGCAUACAACCGUUACAUACCUCAACCUGAGAAAGAGAUAAGACAGGCAUUUAAACAAUUGGCGAAAUAAGAAUUCACGGGUGACUUAAUG